UACGGGGGGGGCAAGCGUUGUUCGGAAUUCCUGGGCGUAAAGGGCUCGUAGGCGGCCAACUAAGUCAGACGUGAAAUCCCUCGGCUUAACCGGGGAACUGCGUCUGAUACUGGAUGGCUUGAGUUUGGGAGAGGGAUGCGGAAUUCCAGGUGUAGCGGUGAAAUGCGUAGAUAUCUGGAGGAACACCGGUGGCGAAAGCGGCUCACUGGACCGUCUCUGACGCUGAGGUGCGAAAGCCAGGGUAGCGAACGGG
This 253-nucleotide ribosomal RNA is filed under the name uncultured bacterium. RNAcentral describes it as "partial 16S ribosomal RNA". It matches the Rfam family "Bacterial small subunit ribosomal RNA", at positions 524 to 776 of the family's 1533-position model. The record is from RNAcentral.